UGACGCGGCAUGUGAGACCCUUGCCCUGGGCAGCUUCGCGGCGACCCAUCCAGGCCUGCAGCUUGGGGUCCUUGGAGGCCACGGAUGGAUGGGGUGGAGGCUGCGUCAGUGGCGCCUCGUAAAGUCGUGAAGUCACACUCAGUGACCGUCAGGGUGGACAGAAAGACGAGGCCAAAGGCCCUGGCCCAGCCCUUCAGCGUCCAGAGCCGCGCCCAGAUGCCUGGCCCGGUGCUGCCUGAUUUGGGCACCAACCCACUCGGCCACUGGACCUGUCUUUCCUGCAACAGGAGUGUUUGCUUUUCUCUCAAAUGGAGAUGAUGUGUCUUGAUGGAAGAACCAUGAGAGAUAUCCAUCCUCUAGAAAAUGAAGUGCUGACAGCUUACAUAGAGUUGUGAACUAUUAAAAAUUCAAGCUGUGUAAGUCAGCUAAACUGAGAA
This is a long non-coding RNA of Lagenorhynchus albirostris (white-beaked dolphin), 437 nucleotides long. RefSeq lists it as uncharacterized. NCBI's taxonomy places the organism in Eukaryota, Metazoa, Chordata, Mammalia, Artiodactyla, Delphinidae. The transcript has 2 exons. The record is from RefSeq and is a predicted model, not a curated record.